This 343-nucleotide transfer-messenger RNA is filed under the name Clostridia bacterium. It matches the Rfam family "transfer-messenger RNA". From Rfam's summary of the family: Bacterial tmRNA, also known as 10Sa RNA or SsrA, is named for its dual tRNA and mRNA-like properties. Its role is to liberate the mRNA from a stalled ribosome. The record is from RNAcentral. Lineage: Bacteria; Bacillati; Bacillota; Clostridia.
GGGGGCGUUCCGGUUUCGACGGGGAUUUUGAACCAUGGGAAGCGGGUAGUGGCGAGUACCACUUAAAAAACUCAAUUCUAAAUAUAAACGCUAACAGAAAUUUAGCAAUCGCUGCCUAACGUGCAGCCGUCCGCCCGGGGAUAACCGCGACUCCGGCUCGGGCGUCGAUUAGCGGUGAACGUGACCGUGCAAAGCUUUGAGCACGGCAUGACUAAUGAAGCUACCGACCGCUUAAGUUUGCUUGUGGACUUAAGCGCGGGGGAAUCUUAACCAUAAGCUGCACCCGGAGAUGCCUGUGCGGAUAGAUUUUCGGACACGGGUUCGACUCCCGUCGCCUCCACCA